This 77-nucleotide transfer RNA is filed under the name Listeria fleischmannii subsp. coloradonensis. RNAcentral describes it as "tRNA-Met(cat)". It matches the Rfam family "tRNA". From Rfam's summary of the family: Transfer RNA (tRNA) molecules are approximately 80 nucleotides in length. Their secondary structure includes four short double-helical elements and three loops (D, anti-codon, and T loops). The record is from RNAcentral. Lineage: Bacteria; Bacillati; Bacillota; Bacilli; Caryophanales; Listeriaceae. RNAcentral also lists the same sequence under 1 other name.
UGGCGGCGUAGCUCAGCUGGCUAGAGCGUUCGGUUCAUACCCGAGAGGUCGUGGGUUCGAUUCCCUCCGCCGCUAUC